Molecule: long non-coding RNA, 199 nt
Filed under: Elaeis guineensis (African oil palm)
Lineage: Eukaryota; Viridiplantae; Streptophyta; Magnoliopsida; Arecales; Arecaceae
Description: long non-coding RNA (EGUI_LNC005433)
Source: RNAcentral
UGUACAGUUAACGGUCAAAUUAGUCAGUAACUAACUGAAUUUAAGAAUAAAUGAUUUAAUUAUUAAACUCUAAAAAAAAAGUUGGAUGCUGAAUCUGAUAUGUCGAGUCCUUAUACCUAUGGUAUAUGACAGCCCAAUCCUUGAUACUGAUGUUGUCAUAUGGCCACUGCCAUAUUGCCUCCACCCCCUGAUCCUAUAC